This 307-nucleotide ribosomal RNA is filed under the name Eubacterium oxidoreducens. RNAcentral's name for it is "bacterial LSU rRNA". It matches the Rfam family "Bacterial large subunit ribosomal RNA", at positions 2618 to 2925 of the family's 2925-position model. Lineage: Bacteria; Bacillati; Bacillota; Clostridia; Eubacteriales; Eubacteriaceae. The record is from RNAcentral.
GUCGUGAGACAGUUCGGUCCCUAUCCGGCGCGGGCGUAGGAUAUCUGAGGAGAGCUGGCCUUAGUACGAGAGGACCGGGCUGGACGGACCACUGGUGUAUCUGCUGUUCUGCCAAGGGCAUUGCAGAGUAGCCAAGUCCGGAAGGGAUAAACGCUGAAGGCAUCUAAGCGUGAAGCCCCCUCCAAGAUGAGAUAUCCCUUUCUUAAAGAAAGUAAGACCCCUUGAAGACUACAAGGUAGAUAGGGCAGAGGUGGAAGUGCAGUAAUGUAUGGAGCUGACUGUCACUAAUCGGUCGAUGGCUUGAUCG